UUUGAGAUUUGAAGUACAUUGCGAGCUAAAUUUUCUUAUUGAUGUAUGUGUUCUUGAACAUUAUUUUUUGGGGAAUUUUGAUAGUUUUGUUGAGAACAAAUGGUUGUGAAAUAUUUUUGGCAGUAUGUUUCUUUAAGCAGGUUCAAGAUAAAUUUUGUAUUGGUAGUAUCGUUAUGCUGCUGAAAACUUUCCAUCGUCUUCGUAUCUCAUAUCUAGGUGUAACAAAGGAGUAAAGAUUUGGUAUCACAACCUCUUUAUGCUUUUUCUUUGGGAACUCUAGAUCCAACAUAUUCACUACAGGAAUUUUUCCUUGAAUGUACCAUUUAUGCACAUUCCCAACAAACAUGUAGUCAGGCAAAGAUGCCUAUAACAUGACACUAUUGAAGCUGGGGGAGUCUGUUCAAGAAGAAUUAUGAAGGCAUCCAUACUUACCGAGCGGAG
Molecule: non-coding RNA, 441 nt
Organism: Benincasa hispida (wax gourd)
Lineage: Eukaryota; Viridiplantae; Streptophyta; Magnoliopsida; Cucurbitales; Cucurbitaceae
Source: RefSeq, a predicted model, not a curated record